AUUGAACGCUGGCGGCAGGCCUAACACAUGCAAGUCGAGCGGAUGAAGGGAGCUUGCUCCUGGAUUCAGCGGCGGACGGGUGAGUAAUGCCUAGGAAUCUGCCUGCUAGUGGGGGAUAACGUCCGGAACCGGGCGCUAAUACCGCAUUCGUCCUGAGGGAGAAAGUGGGGGAUCUUCGGACUUCACGCUAUCAGAUGAGCCUAGGUCGGAUUAGCUAGUUGGUGGGGUAAAGGCCUACCAAGGCGACGUUCCGUAACUGGUCCGAGAGGAUGAUCAGUCACACUGGAAGUGAGACACGGUCGAGACUCCUACGGGAGGAAGCAGUGGGGAAUAUUGGACAAUGGGCGGAAGCCUGAUCCAGCCAUGCCGCGUGUGUGAAGAAGGUCUUCGGAUUGUAAAGAACUUUAAGUUGGGAGGAAGGGCAGUAAGUUAAUACCUGGCUGUUUUGACGUUACCAACAGAAUAAGCACCGGCUAACUUCGUG
This 484-nucleotide ribosomal RNA is filed under the name uncultured bacterium. RNAcentral's name for it is "partial 16S ribosomal RNA". It matches the Rfam family "Bacterial small subunit ribosomal RNA", at positions 30 to 507 of the family's 1533-position model. The record is from RNAcentral.